Corticium candelabrum is the source of this 784-nucleotide long non-coding RNA. RefSeq lists it as uncharacterized. The record is from RefSeq and is a predicted model, not a curated record. The transcript is spliced from 3 exons. Lineage: Eukaryota; Metazoa; Porifera; Homoscleromorpha; Homosclerophorida; Plakinidae.
GGCUCACAUUUCCCUAAUCUAAUGGUCUCCAAGUACACGUACUGCAUAGGCACAUGACAACAGACAGCAAGCAAGGAUUACCCACCAUCUUGCUGAUCCACUUGACUGAUGACGUCACCAUAUCCCAGAGGCCAAAUUAAUAUGCGGAUUUUAUAUUGGCGAUCGCUAAAAAAAUCCGCCAAUCCGCCAAAAUUUCAUCUUAUACGGUGCACUAUUUCUCGAAUAGGGCUUAUGGACCGGAGACAUAGAACAAGAAGUGGUUAUUUUGGCAAGCAGGAAUGUUACAACGUGUAAUGUCUUCCUGAGCAAGUUACAGACGGUAUCAACUGGGAAUGUAAAGAACAAAAAAGCUCGGUUUCAAAUCAGUGCAACAUCUAGUAAUGGUUCAACUGUAUACACGUUACAAAGUGUCAAAUAUCCUAACAAUUGGUUGACAAUUACAAACACUGCAGUCGGAACGGCCACUUCACAUUCUGCGGAAGAUCAUGCUCACAUCAACAUUCAAGAGACAAAUGAUAAUUACUACAUAUUCCGAUCCGUCUCGGAUCCCUCUUCCUACCUCGGAGUCACCUCAGAAGGCUGUAUUGCUCCUCCCAACACGGUAUCACCUACUAGCUCGCUUUCCAACUUCUACAACGGGUUGAUGUAAUGACGCAACAUUUUUGACUUUGAACCGUACCUGUAGCAGUACGGCAAUAUUCUGACAGUUAACAUGUCUUCCUAUUAUUAAUUUGCGUUAGUUAAUUAGUAAAAGUGUUUUUGUGAGCUGGCUGUUGAGAGAGAA